AAAAGCAUUUUCUACCAGAUAUCUUGCCUCUAAAGAAAUGGAACCAAUUUCCUGAGGGAAAUUCUGACUUCUAGAAUGCAUGCUGACAUCCAUAAUAAAAUAAAUAUUCCUUAUUCUAGAAUUUGGGGUGGCCAGAAGUUGGCUAUCAGCCCUUCCCUACUGAAAUUGAAACCUUUCCCUGUUGUGAUCUAUGAUGUUUCUAGGCAGAAUUUCUACUCAAAGAGAAACCCAGAGAAUAAGUGAUAAAUUUUUUUUCUUUUUGGUACCAGGGAUCAAACUUGGGACCUUGUUCUUUCAAGGCAGGCAGCAGAACCACUGAGCUAAAUCCCUAGCAAUGAUAAAAUUGUACACCAGGAGAGAAAGUCUUGGCUAUACAGAUGGUGUUCUUUGUUUUUUGUUUGUUUGUUUUUGUACUGAGGAUGGAACCCAGGGUGUACACUACACUCCCAGGGUGUACACAGGGUGUACAUUACACUCCCUACCCCUUUUUUAUUUUCAUAUUCUCAGGGUCUUGCUAAGUCACUAAGUUGCCCAGGCUGGCUUGAAUUUGAGAUCCUCCUGCCUCAGACUCCCAAAGUGCUGGAUUGCAGGUGUGUGCCACCAUGCCUGGCUCAAUAGAAGAUACACUGACAACAGAAGAUGGAGAAGGCCAUACAUGGUGAUAUGCACCUGUAAUCCCAGCACUUGGGAGGCUGAGGCAGAAAAAUUGCUAUGAGUCAGAGGCCAGCCUGAGAUAUAGUGAAUGCAGAAUUUUAAUGUGGAAAAAGAAAAAGUUGUAAAGCAGGAAGCUUUACUGAAGAGGAGGAGUCAUUACCUGAGUCAGCCAGACCUGUGCUCAUACCUGUUAAUGGAAAACAACAGGGAUCAGACCCUGAGAACAGCAGAUUAGCCUCAGAUCCCACUAACUUUGUCUUGAAAAAUUAAUUCAAUGCACUUAACCUUUUUGUUCUUGGUUUGCAGCCAGAGUUAAAAUAACUUGCGUUUUUUAGGACACUGAUCCGAAAUGACUUGGGAAAUGUGUAGGAAAAAUACUGAAAGGAAGUCUGCCAGUAUGAUUUUUUCUCCUGCCUUCUUAUACUUUUAUUAUUAAAAUUUGCUACCACAGGCUGGGGAUUUAGCUCAGUGGUUCCACCGCCUGCCUUGCAAGCACAAGGACCUGAGUUCGAUCCCUAGUACCCCUUCCCCCCCCCCCAAAAAUUGCUACCAUGAUACUGAAGGAAGAUCAGGCCUUUUUUAAGCUUUUUUUUUUUUUUUUUGGUACCAGGGAUUGAACUUGGGUCCUUGGCUUGCGCAAUAGGCAGCGAAACCACUGAGCUAAAUCCCCCAGCCCAAGCCUUUUUUUUCUUUU
RNAcentral lists this long non-coding RNA (1348 nucleotides) under Heterocephalus glaber (naked mole-rat). RNAcentral describes it as "lncRNA (ENSHGLG00000043240.1)". Lineage: Eukaryota; Metazoa; Chordata; Mammalia; Rodentia; Bathyergidae. The record is from RNAcentral.